Molecule: ribosomal RNA, 518 nt
Filed under: uncultured Russulaceae
Lineage: Eukaryota; Fungi; Basidiomycota; Agaricomycetes; Russulales; Russulaceae
Description: eukaryotic LSU rRNA
Rfam family: 5.8S ribosomal RNA (bases 191-344)
Source: RNAcentral
AUCGUACAACGGAGGUGCGAGGGCUGUCGCUGACCUUCAAAGGUCGUGCACGCCUAAGCGCUCUCUCACAUCCAUCUCACCCCUUUUGUGCAUCACCGCGCGGGCCCCUUCUUGGCGGAGAGGGUCUGCGUUUUCACAUAAAACUUGAUACAGUGUAGAAUGUCCUUUUGCGGUCACACGCAAUCAAUACAACUUUCAACAACGGAUCUCUUGGCUCUCGCAUCGAUGAAGAACGCAGCGAAAUGCGAUACGUAAUGUGAAUUGCAGAAUUCAGUGAAUCAUCGAAUCUUUGAACGCACCUUGCGCCCCUUGGCAUUCCGAGGGGCACACCCGUUUGAGUGUCGUGAAAUUCUCAAAACCCUUUCUUAGGAUUUUGGACUUGGAGGUUCAAUGCUCGCUUUCGGGUCUCGAAGGUGAGCUCCCCUCAAAUGAAUUAGUGGGGUCUGCUUUGCUGGUCCUUGACGUGACAAGAUGUUUCAACGUUUUGGACUUGGCACUGUCUCUUGGAUGCCUGCUUC